This 23-nucleotide unclassified non-coding RNA is filed under the name Mus musculus (house mouse). RNAcentral describes it as "oocyte_clustered_small_RNA3801". Lineage: Eukaryota; Metazoa; Chordata; Mammalia; Rodentia; Muridae. The record is from RNAcentral.
GGUCAAGGGUCACAGUUAGGCCA